GCCUUACUUCUAACUAUAAUUUUCACUAUACCUUGUACCCAUAAAACAUUUUAACCUUUUAGUAGUGGUGAUCAAAAAAUAUCUAAGCGCUUAAGAAAUAGUACCGCAAGGGAAAGAUGAAAUAAAAAUGAAAUAAAUCUAAAGCCCAUUAUAGCAGAGAUUUCUACUCGUACCUUUUGCAUCAUGGUCCAGCCAGUCUAAACAAGCAAAACGAAAUUUCAGUUUGUCCCCCCGAAACUAAGCGAGCUACUUCAAAACAGCUUCAUGAGCCAACCCGUCUCUGUGGCAAUAGAGUGGGAAGAUUUUCAAGUAGAAGUGAUAAGCCUAACGAGCUUAGAGAUAGCUGGUUAUUCAAGAAAGGAAUAUUAGUUCUACCUUAAAUCCCCAAAUGCCACCAAGCAACCCCUGAGAUUUAAGAGUUAUUCAAAUAAGGCACAGCUUAUUUGAAACAGGAUACAACCUACAUAAUAGGGUAAAAUGUUUUAUCUAACUUCAAGUGGGCCUAAAAGCAGCCACCUUUAAAAAAGCGUUAAAGCUUAACAUUACAAAUUAACAAAUCCCACAAACAACUAUGAACCCCUAAUCACUAUUGAAUGACUCCAUAAACAUAUGGAAAACACUAUGCCGGAACUAGUAAUAAGAAUUUAACAUUCUCCAAAAUGUAAGCAUAAACCAAAACGGAUACCCCAUUGGCAAUUAACGAAAAUGAGCUUAUUUCAGCAACCUAACAAGAAAAAACUGCAAUUUCAAUCGUUAAUCUAACACUAGAACAUUCAUGGAAAGAUUAAAAGGAAAAGAAGGAACUCGGCAAAUCUCAACCCCGCCUGUUUACCAAAAACAUCGCCUCUUGAUAAACUAUAAGAGGUCCAGCCUGCCCAGUGAAAAUUUAACGGCCGCGGUACCCUAACCGUGCGAAGGUAGCAUAAUCACUUGUUCUUUAAAUAAGGACUAGUAUCAACGGCAUCACGAGGGUUACACUGUCUCCUUUUCCCAAUCAAUGAAACUGAUCUUCCCGUGAAGAAGCGGGAAUAAAACUAUAAGACGAGAAGACCCCAUGGAGCUUUAAACCUCACAGCAACUUAACUACCUACUCCCAUAUAACCUGUAAAGUUAUGCAUGUCAGUUUUUGGUUGGGGUGACCGCGGAGUAAAAUUAAACCUCCACGACGAAAAGACUUAAAUCUUUAUCUAAGAACCACUAUUCUAAGAAUUAGUACACUAACGAAAAAUGACCCGAUAAUCGAUCAACGAACCAAGUUACCCUGGGGAUAACAGCGCAAUCUACUUCAAGAGCCCCUAUCGACAAGUAGGUUUACGACCUCGAUGUUGGAUCAGGGUAUCCUAGUGGUGCAGCCGCUACUAAAGGUUCGU
RNAcentral lists this ribosomal RNA (1370 nucleotides) under Feihyla kajau (white-eared tree frog). RNAcentral's name for it is "partial 16S rRNA". It matches the Rfam family "Bacterial large subunit ribosomal RNA", at positions 378 to 2576 of the family's 2925-position model. Lineage: Eukaryota; Metazoa; Chordata; Amphibia; Anura; Rhacophoridae. The record is from RNAcentral.